AUGUUGCUCUCCGCCUCGGUGAACUCCAUCUCGUCCAUGCCUUCACCAGUGUACCAAUGCAAGAAAGCCUUCCUCCUGAACAUGGCAGUGAACUGCUCGCUCACCCUCCGGAACAUCUCCUGGAUGGAGGUCGAGUUGCCAACGAAGGUGGACGCCAUGGAGAGCCCCGUCGGCGGGAUGUCACAGACGCUGGACUUGACAUUGUUGGGGAUCCACUCCACAAAGUAG
RNAcentral lists this ribosomal RNA (228 nucleotides) under Triticum aestivum (bread wheat). RNAcentral describes it as "partial small subunit ribosomal RNA". Lineage: Eukaryota; Viridiplantae; Streptophyta; Magnoliopsida; Poales; Poaceae. The record is from RNAcentral.